RNAcentral lists this long non-coding RNA (1254 nucleotides) under Anas platyrhynchos platyrhynchos (common mallard). RNAcentral describes it as "lncRNA (ENSAPLG00000027468.1)". Lineage: Eukaryota; Metazoa; Chordata; Aves; Anseriformes; Anatidae. The record is from RNAcentral.
CUGCCUCCCUCCCCACGCAGUGCGCUCGGGGGCUUCUGUCCCCAUGUCCCCACGUCCCCAAACAAGGCACCUGCCCCCUGAACCCCCCUGAACCCCCCUGAGCCCCCCACGGCGACACAGAGGGUGGCACACGGACGGUGGCUGUGCCCCCCCGAGGAAAAAAAACCCUUUUGGCUCGCCGUUUUUUUUUUGGGGAGGGGGCAGCAGCGGCUGGAGGCGCACGGUGCGCUGCGCGGUGCCGGCGCUGCAUUAACGCUGCCUGUCGCUAGAGCGCACCAGCAGCAUGCUGUGACACCCGCCAGGGCCACCUGCACCCCCCCUCGACACCCUUGGGUGCCCUCCAGCAGCAGGGCAGGAUCCGUCCUUCGGUCCUCCGACCCCGUUCCGGGUCCUGGUGCCCCCCCCGGGGAUGCUGGGGGUCCCAAAUUUGCUCCCCGUGGCAUCACCCGCGGCACUCAGGGAUGGCAAGGAGCGUUGUCCUCUGGAUUAGCCUCGCCUUUGAGUGCUGUCCCCUCAUUUUGGGGACAGUUUGCAGCCUUUUGGGGCUGGGCCGUGCUGGGGGGGCUCACACCACAGCCCCCAGCCCCGUGUGUUUUUGGAGGAGCAUCCUCAGGGCAUCACCACCCCCAAGGCUUCCAGCCCUCUCCCCACCCGUGCCAGCAGCUCUGUGCCCCCCUCCCGUCCCCUCCUGCCACCGGGGGUGACAUGGGCAGGCUGGGGGCCCCGGGGGGCUCUCACUGGGCACAAAAAUGUCCACCCCAAACGCCCCCCCCCCCAAGGCAUUUGAUGUUUUUUGUGGUGGUUUCGCUCCAGCUCCUGCUUUUCCCAAUCCCUUCGGGGCCUCCUGCAGGGGUCUCAGCGGGGACAGCGCCCAUCCCCAACCCGGCACCCAUGGGGACACCCCCUCUGCCUCCCUCCCAACCCCUCCUGGGGGUGAUUUUGGGGCAGCUCCCCCCCCUUUGGGGCUGCGGGCACCCCAGGGAUGGGUGCGGGUGCCGGGAGGGGCAGGACAGAGGCCACCCCAGCAGCCUGUCCUACGUGCGCGUCUCCUUGCCUCCUCGACGCCUUUUUUUUUUUUUCCCUUUUAUCCCCCCCCCUCUUUGAGCAGCUGUUCCCUAAUAAGCUGUUAAUGAUGAUACAGUAAGUAGGAGCGGAGAGUCCUGCGGGAGCUGCCACGAUUUGUGUAAUUGGUCUCGGAGGAGACAAAAGUAUCUAAUAUUUACACGCCGGUAUUAGUCCCCUGGGAGCGCUGUC